Molecule: ribosomal RNA, 417 nt
Filed under: uncultured bacterium
Lineage: Bacteria
Description: bacterial SSU rRNA
Rfam family: Bacterial small subunit ribosomal RNA
Source: RNAcentral
UGGGGAAUAUUGGGCAAUGGGCGAAAGCCUGACCCAGCAACGCCGCGUGAAGGAAGAAGGUCUUCGGAUUGUAAACUUCUUUUAUGAGGGACGAAGGACGUGACGGUACCUCAUGAAUAAGCCACGGCUAACUACGUGCCAGCAGCCGCGGUAAUACGUAGGUGGCAAGCGUUAUCCGGAUUUACUGGGUGUAAAGGGCGCGUAGGCGGGAUGCAAGUCAGAUGUGAAAUCUAUGGGCUUAACUCAUAAACUGCAUUUGAAACUGUAUCUCUUGAGUGCUGGAGAGGUAGAUGGAAUUCCUUGUGUAGCGGUGAAAUGCGUAGAUAUAAGGAAGAACACCAGUGGCGAAGGCGAUCUACUGGACAGUAACUGACGCUGAGGCGCGAAAAGCGUGGGGAGCAAACAGGAUUAGAUACC